Molecule: ribosomal RNA, 182 nt
Filed under: Bacillus licheniformis
Lineage: Bacteria; Bacillati; Bacillota; Bacilli; Caryophanales; Bacillaceae
Description: partial 16S ribosomal RNA
Rfam family: Bacterial small subunit ribosomal RNA
Source: RNAcentral
AUGCCGCGGUGAAUACGUUCCCGGGCCUUGUACACACCGCCCGUCACACCACGAGAGUUUGUAACACCCGAAGUCGGUGAGGUAACCUUUUGGAGCCAGCCGCCGAAGGUGGGACAGAUGAUUGGGGUGAAGUCGUAACAAGGUAGCCGUAUCGGAAGGUGCGGCUGGAUCACCUCCUUUCU